GUCCCGGAAGGAGCGGCGCGGCCCCGAGGCUUCCCGAGCUUUCCCCCUCCCUCCCUCCCUCCCUCCUCCUUUCCCCAUCGCGGCGCGGACAGAGCCGAAGCCAGGGCGGAAACUGCCGAGAUGGCCUCAACAAUGGGGGGGAGAUGAAGGGCACGGGGAUGCGCAGCAGGCAGAGGGGACGCACAGGACAGCGGGAUGUGCAGCAGCUUCUCCCUGCACUGGUUUGCUGGAGAGGAGUUCAGCCCACAAAUAAAACAAAGGGAAAAGACCACACUGGAAGAUGAAUUGUGCUGUCUUGGCUAACUACUUCUAAGCUUUAACAGGUUCCCAAAACAGACAUGUAGAACCCAGGUAAGAAGGGUGAAAUAAUUAAGAGUUGGAAUGUGGGGCUUUUGUCUCUGCUGUAAUUAUCUGUGGGCCAGAUCAGAAACGUUAGACAUCCAACAGGUGAUGAUGUUUUUAGAGGAAAAGCGAACAGUUCCUCCUUUCUCUAAAGGCUACAUACUUUUCCUAUCUAAUCAGUAAUACAAAAUGGGGAGGUGCUGACACAAGCAAGAAUAGCCGAUGACUUCAUCAGUGUGGCAGCAGCUCUCCCUUUAAAGUGUGAGCAAUUCGUUGUGGGUUUGGGAGGUUUUGUUUUCUUUUUUUUUUUAAAGUCUGUCUUCUAUGCAGGAACCUGCAGUCACCUUUAGGACUGUUCUAGUCUUACUUCAAAUCUCUGCUGAGACAGAGCACAAGACUACUUGCUGUUCCUCUCUAACAAACCCUAACUGCUGCUCUUGCAAUCAAAACAAAUGUAAAGCAACUAACUCUAGUCACCAGCAUUUUUUACCCUUGUUAUUAGUGGAUUUGACCUAAGAACUCGAGGAAGCUGCAUCACCAUAGCUAAGUGUUAACAUUGUGUACGUAACCAUGAACUGCGAGAACUUCUUCUGAAAAACUUCAGCAAAUACUUUCUUCUGUCCCCCAACAGACGGAGUGGCUAUUCCUGCAUGGGGAAAAAGACCUGUAGUUUCACAGAGGUGCCCAGCAGAGCUGCAACAAAACUAUUCUAAGAUUUGAAGCAGAAACGAGGACAUUCCUUCUAUGACAACACAUUUGCUCUUAAAAGACCACCAAAUGGACAGUGGCCAGGAAUACUGAACAGGUAACUGCUACCGUUUGGAGCCACUAAGGUGAGGCAGUCCUCGCGCAGCCGCGCUGCCUCCACCCUCCCUGCCCUCUGCUGCUCCGGCUGCUUCCCCAGCUGCGGUCGCUCCUCCUGCCCGGGUUACGGCUUCCUUCACGGCCGGGGCUGGGCAUGCCCUUCGCCUCUUAACUCGCCAGCACCAGCUACGUCCAUGCCUCCAUGUGUAUUUGAUGUUAAUUCCGGGACAUAGAGAUCCCUUUCCGCACGGUGACAAGUCCCCUGAAAAUCUAAGCUGCUGUUCUGAAUUACCAUUUAAGCCAUUAGUCGCUUAAGGAAGCUUGCCAGAGUCAGCAGCCAGCAAUAACACAUUUCUUGUAUGCAAACUGUCUCCUAAAUAAUAAAAGUGUCUCCUCCACUGCCCAUUUUCUCUCUGUGGUAGAGCUGGAUUUUCUGGGGAUGCGUUUGAUCUGCAAUACGAUCAGUACAAUAAGACGGUGACACAAGUUUAGCAAUUGCUUUGUGAGACUCGGCUAACAUCAUGUAAAAAAUGGUUCUCAGAUUCUGCACACAGACAGGUUUAUGUAAAAUGUAUAAACAUUUGUCCAAGUUGUUACAGAUUGCAUAAAUAUGGCAUUUUUACUGUUGCAUUUACAGAUGUGCAUGUACAAUGAUGUGCAAAUAAUCACAAUUUGAUUACAAUCUUUUAAAGGUACUUG
This is a long non-coding RNA of Harpia harpyja (harpy eagle), 1845 nucleotides long. RefSeq lists it as uncharacterized. The transcript has 5 exons. NCBI's taxonomy places the organism in Eukaryota, Metazoa, Chordata, Aves, Accipitriformes, Accipitridae. The record is from RefSeq and is a predicted model, not a curated record.